This 735-nucleotide long non-coding RNA is filed under the name Ananas comosus (pineapple). RNAcentral's name for it is "long non-coding RNA (ACOM_LNC018510)". Lineage: Eukaryota; Viridiplantae; Streptophyta; Magnoliopsida; Poales; Bromeliaceae. The record is from RNAcentral.
UUUCACUCAAUAUUUUCAUUUUGGAUUCAAUUACUCUUCACGUGGCUAACACCGGAUGUGUUUUUUGAGAGAUAGGUAGCAUACUACCCGCUUCGUUUGCUUAUUUUAGAAAUAAACUUAGUUGUACAUGUGAGUCAACUAAAAUUCGAACUUGGGACCUUGUGUACCAACCACCAAACCCUUUACCACUUACGUCAGGAACAGUCGAUGGCUAACACUGGAUGUUAUAUUGGAUUUGUGCUGUAUGCUAGCAGGACCCAAUAUGUGUCGGAAUACGUAUAUUGAACUAAGGGCAUGUUUGGCUCAGAUUAUCCUGGCAGGACUAGAGGCAAUCUUGCCAGAAUUACUGUAUUUAGUUUAUCCAAUCUGUAAUCUGAUCGGUUAUAUAGCAUUUUAAAUAAUAUAAGAUUACUCCGAAAAUAUUACCGAGCGAGAGUGGAUAUUUCGUUUUACUGAUGGCGGAUUAUCUUGAUCAUAAGAAUAAUUAUGAAAUAGACUAUAUUUUAUUGUCAAAAUUAUCAAAUUUUAUCAAUUGAAACCAAAUAAAAUAAUUUUAUAUACACGGUAUAAUUCAGCAUUAUAUUAUUGUAUUAAAUCAAAAGCAAUAAUAAUAUAACAUCAGCAGCAAUCUGUUUUAUAAAUCUCUAAUAUUUAGUUAUAUCAAAAUUAUCUGCAAUACUACAUAACGCAAAUCAAAAUGUGCCAUAAAAAUAAAUUUACUUAACCAAUAAAUUU